ACCCGCUGAACUUAAGCAUAUCAAUAAGCGGAGGAAAAGAAACCAACAGGGAUUGCCCUAGUAACGGCGAGUGAAGCGACAACAGCUCAAAUUUGAAAUCUGGCCUUCUGGUCCGAAUUGUAAUUUGUAGAGGAUGCUUUUGGUUAGGUACCUUUCGAGUUCCUUGGAACAGGACGCCUUAGAGGGUGAGAGCCCCGUACGAUUGGAUACCGAGCCUCUGUAAAGCUCCUUCGACGAGUCGAGUAGUUUGGGAAUGCUGCUCUAAAUGGGAGGUAAAUUUCUUCUAAAGCUAAAUACCGGCCAGAGACCGAUAGCGCACAAGUAGAGUGAUCGAAAGAUGAAAAGCACUUUGAAAAGAGGGUUAAAUAGUACAUGAAAUUGUUGAAAGGGAAGGGCUUAUGACCAGACCUUUGCCUUGCGGAUCAUCCGGUGUUCUCACCGGUGCACUCCGCUUGGUUGAGGCCAGCAUCAGUUUUGGCGGCCGGAUAAAGACUUCAGAGAAUGUGACUCCUCCGGGAGUGUUAUAGCCUGCUGUGUAAUACGGUCGCUGGGACUGAGGACCGCGCUUCGGCUAGGAUGCUGGCAUAAUGGUCAUCAGCCACCCGUCUUGAAACACGGACCAAGGAG
RNAcentral lists this ribosomal RNA (627 nucleotides) under uncultured fungus. Its description in RNAcentral is "eukaryotic LSU rRNA". It matches the Rfam family "Eukaryotic large subunit ribosomal RNA", at positions 23 to 673 of the family's 3401-position model. The record is from RNAcentral. Lineage: Eukaryota; Fungi.